AUACAUGCAGUCGAGCGAACAGAAGGGAGCUUGCUCCCGGAUGUUAGCGGCGGACGGGUGAGUAACACGUGGGUAACCUGCCUGUAAGACUGGGAUAACUCCGGGAAACCGGAGCUAAUACCGGAUAGUUCCUUGAACCGCAUGGUUCAAGGAUGAAAGACGGUUUCGGCUGUCACUUACAGAUGGACCCGCGGCGCAUUAGCUAGUUGGUGGGGUAAUGGCUCACCAAGGCGACGAUGCGUAGCCGACCUGAGAGGGUGAUCGGCCACACUGGGACUGAGACACGGCCCAGACUCCUACGGGAGGCAGCAGUAGGGAAUCUUCCGCAAUGGACGAAAGUCUGACGGAGCAACGCCGCGUGAGUGAUGAAGGUUUUCGGAUCGUAAAGCUCUGUUGUUAGGGAAGAACAAGUGCGAGAGUAACUGCUCGCACCUUGACGGUACCUAACCAGAAAGCCACGGCUAACUACGUGCCAGCAGCCGCGGUAAUACGUAGGUGGCAAGCGUUGUCCGGAAUUAUUGGGCGUAAAGGGCUCGCAGGCGGUUUCUUAAGUCUGAUGUGAAAGCCCCCGGCUCAACCGGGGAGGGUCAUUGGAAACUGGGAAACUUGAGUGCAGAAGAGGAGAGUGGAAUUCCACGUGUAGCGGUGAAAUGCGUAGAGAUGUGGAGGAACACCAGUGGCGAAGGCGACUCUCUGGUCUGUAACUGACGCUGAGGAGCGAAAGCGUGGGGAGCGAACAGGAUUAGAUACCCUGGUAGUCCACGCCGUAAACGAUGAGUGCUAAGUGUUAGGGGGUUUCCGCCCCUUAGUGCUGCAGCUAACGCAUUAAGCACUCCGCCUGGGGAGUACGGUCGCAAGACUGAUACUCAAAGGAAUUGACGGGCGCGCGCACAAGCGGUGGAGCAUGUGGUUUAAUUCGAAGCAACGCGAAGAACCUUACCAGGUCUUGACAUCCUCUGACAACCCUAGAGAUAGGGCUUUCCCUUCGGGGACAGAGUGACAGGUGGUGCAUGGUUGUCGUCAUCUCCUGUCGUGAGAUGUUGGGUUAAGUCCCGCAACCACCGCACCCUUGAUCUUAGUUGCAGCAUUCAGUUGGGCACUCUAAGGUGACUGCCGGUGACAACCCGAGGAAGGUGGGGAUGACGUCAAUCAUCAUGCCCCUUAUAACCUGCCUUACACGGGCUCAAAGGAAAAAAAAAGGGGGACAAACCCACGGGUUAUCAAUCCCGGAUUUUUU
RNAcentral lists this ribosomal RNA (1237 nucleotides) under Bacillus safensis. Its description in RNAcentral is "bacterial SSU rRNA". It matches the Rfam family "Bacterial small subunit ribosomal RNA", at positions 51 to 1285 of the family's 1533-position model. Lineage: Bacteria; Bacillati; Bacillota; Bacilli; Caryophanales; Bacillaceae. The record is from RNAcentral.